CUAACAAACAAACAAAUAUUCUCUCACACUGUAAAACUCAAUCCCGUUUGAUGCUGUGAGAAUCAAACACUUCAGCCAAAUCAAAAUUCGAUCACACGGCGAUGGAGAAUCGUACCGGUUUAACCUACAUGAACCGGAAAUUAAGCGGUUUAAGCGUAACCGACGAUUCCUCUUCCGCGUUCAGCGACUGUAACAGCGACAGAUCCGGCGAGUUUCCACCGUCUUCCUCCGAGAACCGCCGUCUCUUCCUCUACCGCGCAGCUGAGAAUCCCGACGAUUUGAUCCGUUACCUCGUAUCGCAUCUCGACUCUUCCUCCUCCUCCAUCGACGAGCAGAAGCAAGCCGCCAUGGAGAUCAGGCUCUUAACCAAAGACAAACCGGAGAACCGGAUCAAACUCGCCAGAGCCGGCGCGAUCAAACCGUUGAUCUCUCUCGUCUCUUCCUCCGAUCCUCAGCUUCAGGAGCACGGCGUCACCGCUGUGCUGAACCUCUCCCUCUGCGACGAGAACAAGGAGCUGAUCGCUUCCUCCGGCGCGAUUAAACCGCUCGUUAGGGUUUUGAAAUCGGGAACGCCGACGGCGAAAGAGAACGCCGCCUGCGCUCUCCUCCGCCUAUCGCAGAUCGAAGACAACAAGAUCGCGAUCGGGAGAUCCGGAGCGAUUCCUCACUUGGUGAACCUUCUGGAAACCGGCGGGUUCAGGGGGAAGAAGGACGCGGCGACGGCUCUUUACUCUCUCUGCUCGGCGAAGGAGAACAAGAUCAGGGCCGUGGAAUCGGGCGUUAUGAAGCCGCUCGUGGAGCUGAUGGCGGAUUUCGAUUCGAACAUGGUGGAUAAAUCGGCGUACGUGAUGAAUCUGCUGAUGUCGGCGCCGGAGUCGAAGCCGGCGGUGGUGGAGGAAGGAGGAGUUCCGGUGCUUGUGGAGAUAGUGGAGGUGGGAACGCAGAGGCAGAAGGAGAUGGGCGUGUCGAUAUUGCUGCAGCUUUGUGAGGAGAGUGUGGUGUAUCGAACCAUGGUGGCGCGCGAAGGUGCGAUUGCUCCUGUGGUGGCUUUGUCGCAGAGUAGUAAGAGUCGAGCUAAGCUAAAGGCGGAGGCGUUGAUUGAGCUUCUAAGACAACCAAGACAACAACAACAACAACGGUUAGAUUCUAACAGAAGCUAGAAUGUGUGUGACUGAAGAUCUUUGGUAUUGUAAAAUAUCUUUCGAAUGGCAUUCCACAUUUUUGUGAAUAGUGUGAGCGGGUGUGUAUACAGAUGCUUGAUUUGAGCUUUAAUUAAUGGGCCUAUAUAGACCCAUCUCACGUGCUUUAUCAAUUAAUGGACGGGCUUAGUUUGUAUUUUGAUUAUGAUCACUCAAUGUUCUAACCCAAUUAUGUAACUAGGUUUGGAGAUCAACUCUGCUCAGCUUUGCUAACUCAACUUUUUUUUUUUUUUUUAACUACCCUUCUUCAUUUAUUUAUAACUCAAUUUACACGCCCAACACGGGCCUUGUGCACUAAAAGAAAAACUCAGCCGGCUUACAAAGCCCAACUGCUAUAAGAGAAUCAAACACUUCAGCCAAAUCAAAAUUCGAUCACACGGCGAUGGAGAAUCGUACCGGUUUAACCUACAUGAACCGGAAAUUAAGCGGUUUAAGCGUAACCGACGAUUCCUCUUCCGCGUUCAGCGACUGUAACAGCGACAGAUCCGGCGAGUUUCCACCGUCUUCCUCCGAGAACCGCCGUCUCUUCCUCUACCGCGCAGCUGAGAAUCCCGAC
RNAcentral lists this long non-coding RNA (1755 nucleotides) under Brassica napus (rape). RNAcentral's name for it is "long non-coding RNA (BNAP_LNC010742)". The record is from RNAcentral. Lineage: Eukaryota; Viridiplantae; Streptophyta; Magnoliopsida; Brassicales; Brassicaceae.